AUUCGCGCCAACCCCAACCCAGAGAAACUCUGCGCCAUCACCACUCAUCACCCCCAAAUCAGAGAAGACUCUGUGCCAUCACCACUCACUGUAACAUCACUAAUUUCUAACCCUUAAUCCCAAAAUCCCCAAAUUAACUCAGAAAAUCCUAAUUUCCCCAAUUCCUAACCUUAACAGCCACAACCUCACCCUCCUUCAACGUAACCACCACAGCGCCGCUGCAGCUAUUGCCACCUUCAGAGCUGCAGAAAGUUGUCCUCCCUGCCGUCGAAUGUCGCCGUUGUGUCACACAUGAGAGAGAGAGAGAGACAGAUUCGAGAGGAGCUACCCACGAUCGCUGUCGUCGAAGCCAGGCUUGUCGCCGUCACCACCCACGAAGCUGUGAGGAGCCGCUGUCAUGCUCGUGUCGCUGUGCGCCGUCGAGCUGCCCUCACCCUGAGCCGUCGAUCUGUCACCACGGCUACAAGGGCUUCUCACUGGAGCCAUGACUGUCACUGAGCUUUCGUCGCCGCUGCCGUUCAAGCCACUACUGCCGUCGAUUUGGAGUUGCUGUGAUUGGAGCCACUAGCGGGGGUGAGUUGCUACUGCCUUGUUGCCGUCCUAGUCAUAUUCAACAUCCACUGCCUUGAGCUGUUUCUGCCGUUGAGUUUGUUGAGUUUGGAUUCCUUGUGCUACUGUAACUGUCAUUAUUGCUGUGGGAACCAACGUUUCUGUUUGGCUGCUGCUGAAGGUCUUCCACCAUUGUUGGAGCUACCCAGAAUCAUCGUGGAAACUACCAAGAUAUAUGGUUGAUUUCUAAUUAUGCCAAGACAUCAUCACUAAUUAAGUUUUAUGUUAUUUUUUUAUUUUAUUUUAUGUACUGACUGCAUUAUAACUUGUGAAUCCCAUUUCCUUUUUGAUAUUCAAUGUUUUGACAAACUGCCAUGGUUUAUAAUCUAUUGAUACUUGCCAUUUUCAUGCUUAAUCAGUCUGAUUUAGAGAUAUUUUGGAGCUGACUAAGGCUUUGAUGAACAACCCAGCCGCUGCUUGUGCAAUCUGAUGAUGAACAUUUUUUUAAUGGUUGAGUAUAUUGCUAAAUUUUUUGCUUUAAUCACUAGGUGCUGUGUUAAGGAAUAAACAAAAUUUUUCUGCAACCCAGCAUGUUUAAAGAGAGUCGCAAGCUUCUGCUAGGCCCAUACAUCUUUGUUGUAUGCUAUAAUUGCUAGUGCUUCCUCUAAUGAACUUGUAUUCUAUAGUUGGAAAAUAAUUAAUGUUUCUCAUAUGUAAGGCUAUGUUCACACUGUAGGAGCGACUGUUGUUCAUCAAUUCUGCCAUCUUGGCUUUUUCUCUUUUCUUGGUGGUGGUUCUGUGGUUUUACAAGAUGUUCCAAAGUACACAAUGGUAGCCGGAGAAAGAGCCGAGCUUCGGGGUCUACAUUUAGUGGGCCUGGCUCGACGUGGAUUCAGCACUGCAGAGAUCAGGAACCUUAAAGCAGCCUAUCGGAAGAUAUUCAUGCGUGCUGAUGCAAAUGCCGGGUCAUUCGAGGAUAGGCUUGCCAAAGUGGCCAUGUUGCCGGAUUUUGUGCUCUGUGUGCAAUACAGAAUCAUGUAAGUCAUGCACUGCAUGCAUCUGGAAGAACAUUAUCCCCCGAGGAUCUGGUUGGGAAUCUGCGGUGCAUAUCACGAAAUUUCCAAAAUGCAAGGCAGGAGGAUGCACAUGAGUAUAUGGUCAACUUACUUGAGUCAAUGCAUAAAUGCUGCCUGCCUUCUGGUGUACCAAGUGAAUCACCUAGUGCUUAUGAGAAAAGUUUUGUUCAUAAAAUAUUUGGUGGUCAUCUGCGAAGUCAGGUGAAAUGUCAGCAGUGUUCCUUUUGCUCCAACAAGUUUGAUCCAUUCUUAGAUCUAAGCCUCAAAAUUUUCAAGGCAGAAUCAUUGCAGAAAGCACUUGCAAAUUUCACUGCUGCAGAAUGGUCGGAUGGAGGGGAAAGGCAAUACAAUUGUCAAAGAUGCAAGCAGAAAGUUAGGGCUCUAAAACAGCUUACGGUUCAUAAGGCACUUUAUGUGCUAACUAUUCACUUAAAGCGGUUCCAUGCGCACAAUCCUGGACAGAAGAUUAAAAAGAAGGUUCGGUUUGACUGUGCUCUGGACCUAAAACCUUUUGUCAGCGGCUCAUAUAUCUCAAUGUUUUCCAAUACAGAUUACUGGUUGGCCAUUGGAGUUAAUGGCUUAUUCUUAUUUAGCUGUUAGUCCUCCAAGCAUGAUAGCGCAAUUUGAAGAGCAGCACCAAAUAAAAGUACCGCCAAGAAAGAUUCGAGAUAUCCUGAAAUAGAGGAGCAAGCAUUGUGCGAAUCCAGUAUAUCAAAAUACAACAAUAAUUUGUAAUCCUCUUUAUAUUCAUUGAUACAUGAAAGUAGUAGUUUAGACAUGUUUCAUUUUUUUUUACUCUAUUGUUGAAUGAUUGUUCAAUUGGAUAGUUGGAUCCAUUGUUUUAUGUACUAAUAUAUUGUAACAUUACAGUGCUUGUGAAUCUUUAGAAUGUAUUUGCUGUCUUUUGCUAGAAUAUUUUUUAGUUUAAUAUAAUUGUGUAUUUAUUUUUAUUUUAUAA
This is an RNA transcript of Arachis duranensis, 2583 nucleotides long. It is a transcript of the gene named ubiquitin carboxyl-terminal hydrolase 23, with no coding region annotated. NCBI's taxonomy places the organism in Eukaryota, Viridiplantae, Streptophyta, Magnoliopsida, Fabales, Fabaceae. The record is from RefSeq and is a predicted model, not a curated record. The transcript is spliced from 8 exons.